CCCGUGGCUUGCCACCCUGAAGCACUGCUGAGAAGACAGCAGUGUGGACGUGUGGAGGAUCGGGGGCAUUUCAUUUUUUUUUUUUUUUUUUUCAGUCAGUCUGAAUGUUCUUUAUUCUACUCAGCAACUAGGAGCAGAGCGUCAGUGCAGCUGUACAAAUGUGGCUUUUAUGUACACUGCAAGACAGAUAAACCUCACCAAGCAUCCAAAUUGAAGAAUGAUAGUUCUACAGAAGUUUGCAUGCUACCCAGCUAGCACUGGCCCACCCCGGUCCAAAGUUCCUGUGCCUAGAGUGUAAACACCAGCCCUCCUCUGUUGCACCGAGCUCCCACUCUGAACCACUAGAUGCACGGCUAUCCAAGGUCAACCCCUUAUGUACCUCAGCACUCACCAGAGAAUCCGGAUCGCUUACUCUUCUUUAUCCCCUCUUGGAUCAGGGCAGAAUUGGAUGUGCUUCGGGGUGGUUAUUCCUCCAAAAGAUUUGGUGUGGUGUUUAUAGAUUUACCCUUGCAUCGGCCGGGUAUGCAGAUGGGGAGGAUUGACCUGCUGCGACCUUGGAAGAGUGCCCUGGCGGAGGACGACAGCGACCUCGGGAUGGGCAGGACAUGCUGCAAUGCAGCAGAGCAGAUCAGUGGUGCUGCAUGCUGUCACACACACACACACACACUCAAAAACUGCAGCUCAUUUACACACUUUUCACACAAAAAUACACUUACUGCACAUAAGAACAAGUAAACAGCAAAAACUUGCACAGAUGCACACAAUCAAUAUGAACACACACGCGUGUGCACGCUCUACGUCUUCCUGGAUUAGCAGGCAUGGGUGUGUCUUAAUCAACCUGCCGCUGGCUGGCUGAGAUGCACACACCGCCCACAUGACUCUGCAUAAUGAGCAGCGAGUAAGCACGCACAUGCUCACACACAUUUACAUCCACACCCCUUUAGAAGGAGCACGACUGUAGAUGUGCACACAAGCUAUGGACUACAGAGGUGUGGGAGUACCAAGACAGAAGCAAAUGGUCAAAAAACACAUAGGGAUGUAUUAAUAAUGAUGCACUGAUUUCACCCUUUUCGCUCUGUUUUCCCAAAAUAAUCCAAGCAAAGUCCUUCUUUUCAUACACACAUAUAAAGUCGUCAGUGUUUGUUUUUCCUUUUGAACUGCAUCAACAGCUACUUCACAGCUUUUAUAGAUAAGGCGAUCACUCAGCUCCAUCAGCCACCAGAUCCCCCGGGCACCCCAGCGGGGCGUCCCAUAGGAGGACAAUAUGUAACAGCCGUGCCAAGACAUCUGCUUCAAAUCGAUCGAUCGUCCAGCCUCCACCUCAUUCACCUGCAGUCCUCAUCACAUUCCAGGUCAAGGGGUCCAGAGCUGUGUUUCGUUGCAUCCGUCCAGAUCUCCAGCUCUCACUCCUCCAUCACCACCGCCACAGGGAUAUUCUGUACAGCCCACGGCUUCACUGCCACUUUAAGGUUCAUCCCGUUGUGACAGACAGGGCUGUGCAGUUGGAAAGAAGACAGCUUUGUUGGAUCUGGUCUCUUUCAUCGAAUGUGUUGACAUUCACAACCAUAUGGAACAACAUCGUCAGCAUCAUCCUUCACCCCAAAUCACAAACACACACUCACACACACACACACACACACACACAGUGGUGUCGGAAAUCCUUAAUAGUGCGGUGGAUGCUAUAACACAACCGGCUCGAGCCUGCUGGUCAGGACGUGAGGGACGGUGAUGGGAGCAGAGGAAAAAGGGCUUGCUCUUUCAUUUCCAGUGACUUCACAGGAAAUUCUUUCCACUUUGGUCCCAUUGUCUCCAACCUUGCAGGACGAGAUGAGAUGUGCUAACAUGCUGUGAUCAGGAUGUGUUUUUGCUCGUGUCUGAUUUCUUUAAUCACACUUUCCAGAAUUGGUUUAUUCCACAAACAAGGAGAACUUACAGUCUGAUACCUCUUCUUGGCUGCCGCUGUUUGUGACUUAUGGAUUUUUUCCUAACCUUCUGAUCAGCUUUACUGUGAGUUCAGUGUGACCUUUGACUGCAGGGUCAAAGGUCAGCCCACACUCACCUCUGAGUCCUUUCAGCACGCUGAAAUAAAAACCUGAACAAGGGA
Molecule: long non-coding RNA, 2104 nt
Organism: Acanthopagrus latus (yellowfin seabream)
Lineage: Eukaryota; Metazoa; Chordata; Actinopteri; Spariformes; Sparidae
Exons: 6
Source: RefSeq, a predicted model, not a curated record